UACGUAGGGGGCUAGCGUUGUCCGGAAUCAUUGGGCGUAAAGCGCGCGUAGGCGGCCCGGUAAGUCCGCUGUAAAAGUCAAAGGCUCAACCUUUGAAUGUCAGUGGAUACUGCCGGGCUAGAGUCCGGAAGAGGCGAGUGGAACUCCUGGUGUAGCGGUGGAAUGCGCAGAUAUCAGGAAGAACACCAACGGCGAAGGCAGCUCGCUGGGACGGUACUGACGCUGAGACGCGAAAGCGUGGGGAGCGAACGGG
This 253-nucleotide ribosomal RNA is filed under the name uncultured bacterium. RNAcentral's name for it is "partial 16S ribosomal RNA". It matches the Rfam family "Bacterial small subunit ribosomal RNA", at positions 524 to 776 of the family's 1533-position model. The record is from RNAcentral.